This 496-nucleotide unclassified non-coding RNA is filed under the name Hevea brasiliensis (rubber tree). Lineage: Eukaryota; Viridiplantae; Streptophyta; Magnoliopsida; Malpighiales; Euphorbiaceae. The record is from RNAcentral.
UCAAGCAUAUCAACUUUCCUGACCUGAAGGAACCCAGCAUUAUAAAUAAUAACCCAAAUCAUUCUGUAAUAAAUAUAUUAUCAACUAACAACUACCAAGUCAUCAAUUUCCCUUUCUGCUUUAAAAUACCCUGCUGAUACAUUGAAAUAAUCCUCAAUCUUGAGUAAUGAUCACAUCAAAAAUAGAAUAGACGAAUUUCUAUUGGUUAGUAUUUUUGAAUUACAUGCUAAAACGUUAUAUAUUUCAAGAUAUGAAUGAGAUUUGGAAUUCAAUUCACUAUAAACACAUCUUAUGAAUAACACAAUAGUCUAUAUAUAAAAUAAAUUCCUCUAUCUCAAAAUCAGUCAUAGCCACAAACAAUUAAAAAUUAAUUUCAAUGGCUACUCCUUAAUUAUUUAAUCAAGAGACAGACACUCUUAAGCAUAUCAAAUGUAUCCCAUCCUAAAUAGAUAAAACAUUUCCGAGCAUUUUUAGAUUGAAAGAGAAAUUAAUGGGA